Gossypium arboreum is the source of this 721-nucleotide long non-coding RNA. RefSeq lists it as uncharacterized. NCBI's taxonomy places the organism in Eukaryota, Viridiplantae, Streptophyta, Magnoliopsida, Malvales, Malvaceae. The transcript has 3 exons. The record is from RefSeq and is a predicted model, not a curated record.
CCAUACUAUCUCGUCAUUGAUUUGGUAGUCUUCCAAACGUUCUAAAGUCCGAUUAUGUGGCAUGUAUAUAGUAAUUGCUCCGGUAACGGAUAUGGCAUAUUGUAGCUGGGACCAGACAAUCGGGUCAGUUUGAUUGAAGGAGGCAUUGCAUUGGAUACAUCGUGGAGGACAAGAGAAUAGCAGUCCAUUGAAAAGUUAAGCUAAUUUGGAACUACAUCCAACAAAUGAAGAGCCUAAUGUACAAUCUGAUGAUAGCGAUGGGACACUAGCCUAGUAAACUUUGUAAGUGUUGAUCCCUAUGGUAGGUUGCAAUUAUCCUUAUGUUCUCUUUUCGUCACUGUAGCAAAAGAAAAAUAGAGUACGAAGCUUUGAAUUACCAAACGAGGUCGAACCUGAACUUAUCACUAAUAAUCGGACAUGGCUAGAUUAAUAAGCCAGUUUCAAAGAGGGAAUAAAAGCAUGGCACUUACUGCUACAACGACAAGUACAGCUCCAGUGGGGAAAAAAAAAGAGCCUAAACCCUAAAAGCCUAAAAGCUACCAAAAAAUGUUUAAAAAGAUGUAGUAACCAGAAAAAGCAGAUCUCGAAAUUACGACCCUCUUUUUUAUCUAGCCGUUGGCAGCAGGACCCAUGUUAUGGCAUCUCAUCGAAACUAGCUAAUCUUAUUAAUUACGGCAUAAAUAAAUUUCAUAGUUCAAGGAUGUGUUUUGAAAUUACCCCA